RNAcentral lists this long non-coding RNA (1149 nucleotides) under Oryctolagus cuniculus (rabbit). Its description in RNAcentral is "lncRNA (ENSOCUG00000037995.1)". Lineage: Eukaryota; Metazoa; Chordata; Mammalia; Lagomorpha; Leporidae. The record is from RNAcentral.
AACCUUAGUAACGUUCUCUCAGCACCUCCUCCAUUGGCUCUGGAUGCGUCCUCAUUUGCCUGCUUCUAGAUUCACAGACAGAGCUCUGUAGGACUGUGGUAUCCUCGACUAGCGAGUGCCUUCUGAUAGAGAACGGAAGACUCUCCAGGGGAGAGAGAAGAGGCCUCUUCAGUAGAACAAGCACACAAGCAGCAAAUUCAGGUAGAUACAGGGACUGGUGCUGUGGCAUAGUGGGUAAGGCCGCAGCCUGCAGUGGCAGCAUCCAAUAUGGGCACCAGUUCAAGUCCCAGCUGCUCCACUUUCGAUCCAGCUCUCUAUUAUGGCCUGGCAAGCAGUGGAAGAUGGCCCAAGUCCUUGGGACCAUGUGCCCACAUGGGAGACCUAGAAGAAUAUCCUGGUUCCUGGCUUCAGAUUGGCCCAGUUCCAGCAGCUGUGGCAAUUUGCGAAGUGAACCUCUCUCUCUCUCUCUCUCUCCCUCCUUCUGCCUCUCUGUAACUCUGCCUUUCAAAUAAAUAAAUAUUUUUUAAAAAAUAUUUUUAAUGGAAAUGUUUUUUAAAAAGAUAUAAUAAGCAAUUUAUAUAAUAAGCCAUUUUCUACCCAAGAUUAACUAAGUAUUAAGCCAUCAUUUUUUCUCAUUUUUUAUGGAUUGCAAUCUUACAUUUACAUAGCUCAUUUAAAAAUUUUAGUACAAAAUGUGUGUUUGUGUGUGGAGGGGAGCUAACUUGUUUAUUCAGAAGUAGCAAAAUUUCUCAAUACAAUUUUCUAAGGAAUCUACCCCAUUACAAAUUAUUUCAAAUGGGGGCUGGCACUGUGGCGCAGUGAGUUAAUGCCCUGGCCUGAAGCAUCAGCAUCCCAUAUGGGCACCGGUUCUAGUCCUAGCUGCUCCUCUUCCAAUCCAGCUCUCUACUAUGGUGUGGGAAAGCAGUAGAAGAUGGAUCAAGUCCUUGGGCCCGUGCACCCACGUGGGAGACCCGGAAGAAGCUCCUGGCUCCUGGCUUCGGAUUGGUGAAUUUCCAGCCAUUGUGGCCAACUGGGGAGUGAACCAUCAGAUGGAAGACCUCUCUCUCUUUCUCUCUCUCUGACUCUCUGCCUCUCCUCUCUCUUGUAACUCUGAAUAAAUAAAAUAAAUAAAAUCUUUAAAAAAAACCA